This 458-nucleotide ribosomal RNA is filed under the name uncultured bacterium. RNAcentral describes it as "partial 16S ribosomal RNA". It matches the Rfam family "Bacterial small subunit ribosomal RNA", at positions 338 to 795 of the family's 1533-position model. The record is from RNAcentral.
CCUACGGGUGGCAGCAGUGGGGAAUAUUGCACAAUGGGGGAAACCCUGAUGCAGCGACGCCGCGUGAGUGAAGAAGUAUUUCGGUAUGUAAAGCUCUAUCAGCAGGGAAGAAAUAGCGACCUUUGGGUCGCCAGACGGUACCUGAUUAAGAAGCCCCGGCUAACUACGUGCCAGCAGCCGCGGUAAUAAGUAGGGGGCAAGCGUUAUCCGGAUUUAAUGGGUGUAAAGGGGGGGGAGACGGCAGCGUAAGUCUGAAGGGAAAUGCCGGGGCUUAACCCCGGAACUGCUUUGGAAACUGUGCAGCUAGAGUGCGGGAGAGGUAAGUGGAAUUCCUGGUGUAGCGGUGAAAUGCGUAGAUAUUAGGAGGAACACCGGUGGCGAAGGCGGCUUACUGGAGUGUAACUGACGUUGAGGCUCGAAAGCGUGGGGAGCGAACAGGAUUAGAUACCCGAGUAGUC